UCCGAUGGAUCCGGUGGAUCUGAUGGAUCCGAUGGAUCUGAUGAUCCAUCAGAUCCAUCGGAUCCAUCAGAUCCACCAGAUCCAUCCGAUC
This is a non-coding RNA of Paramuricea clavata, 91 nucleotides long. NCBI's taxonomy places the organism in Eukaryota, Metazoa, Cnidaria, Anthozoa, Malacalcyonacea, Plexauridae. The record is from the annotation of a GenBank genome assembly.